Molecule: ribosomal RNA, 440 nt
Filed under: uncultured bacterium
Lineage: Bacteria
Description: bacterial SSU rRNA
Rfam family: Bacterial small subunit ribosomal RNA
Source: RNAcentral
AACGCGAAGAACCUUACCCAGACUUGACAUGCAGAUGACCGUUACAGAGAUGUAACUUCCCUUCGGGGCAUCUGCACAGGUGCUGCAUGGCUGUCGUCAGCUCGUGCCGUGAGGUGUUUGGUUAAGUCCAGCAACGAGCGCAACCCUUAUCAUUAGUUGCCAACAUUUAAGGUGGGAACUCUAAUGAGACUGCCUGGGUUAACCAGGAGGAAGGUGAGGAUGACGUCAAGUCCGCAUGGCCCUUAUGUCUGGGGCUACACACGUGCUACAAUGGUCGGUACAGAAGGCAGCGAAACCGCGAGGUGGAGCAAAUCCCGAAAGCCGAUCCCAGUUCAGAUUGUAGUCUGCAACUCGACUACAUGAAGACGGAAUUGCUAGUAAUGGUGGGUCAGCAACACCACCGUGAAUACGUUCCCGGGCCUUGUACACACCGCUACAGU